GGAGAGUUGUCCGAGUUGGUCUAAGGAGCACGACUGGAAAUCGUGUAAGUCGAAAGGCUUCGAGGGUUCGAAUCCCUUGCUCUCCGCCA
This 89-nucleotide transfer RNA is filed under the name Clostridiales bacterium. RNAcentral's name for it is "tRNA-Ser". It matches the Rfam family "tRNA". Rfam says of the family: Transfer RNA (tRNA) molecules are approximately 80 nucleotides in length. Their secondary structure includes four short double-helical elements and three loops (D, anti-codon, and T loops). Lineage: Bacteria; Bacillati; Bacillota; Clostridia; Eubacteriales. The record is from RNAcentral.